GGUUCGAUCAUGGCUCGACGAACGCUGGUGAUGCUGCUUAUCAUAUAAGUCGAACGCAAUUUGACGCUGUCUGCGUGGCGAGGCGAAACGGUGAGUACGUAUCGAACGCCCAGGUGAAGGGAAACUACGCAGGAGCGUACAUUAUCGCACGCCCUCGGAAAGGCGAACUUUCCGGCCUCUGCACUAUUAGAGCGGGCUGAUAUCAACACAGUCGUGGUGACGGUUCACUGGUGCGACCGAAUCCGUAAUGGUUGAGAGGGACGUCCGUCGCCACACUGACGAGAUACGCCUGUGACCGGCUGGAGGGCAGCAGGGAAUUCUGACAAUGGGGGAAACUCCUGAUCCAGCCAUCCCGCGUGUGCGAUGAAGGCCUUCGGGUUGUAAAAAAGCACUUUGGCAGGGGAGGUAAAGAAACGGCACGGGAUAAUACCCCGUGCAACUGACGGUACCUGCAGAAUAAGCACCGGCUAACUACGUGCCAGCAGCCGCGGUAAUACGUAGGGUGCAAGCGUUAAUCGGAAUUACUGGUCGUAAAGCGUGCGCAGGCGGUUCUCCGAAAGAAAGAUGUGAAAUCCCAGAGCUUAACUUUGGAACUGCAUUUUUAACUACCGAGCUAGAGGUGUCAGAGGGAGGUGGAAUUCCGCGUAGCAGUGAAAUGCGUAGAUAUGCGGAGGAACACCGAUGGCGAAGCGCAGCUCUCCUGGGAUAACACUGACGCUCAUGCACGAAAGCGUGGGGAGCAAACAGGAUUAGAUACCCUGGUAGUCCACGCCCUAAACGAUGUCAACUAGCUGUUGGGGCCUUCGGCCUUACGUAGCGCAGCUAACGCGUGAAGUUGACCGCCUGGGGAGUACGGUCGCAAGAUUAAAACUCAAAGGAAUUGACGGGACCCGCACAAGCGGUGGAUGAUGUGGAUUAAUUCGAUGCAACGCGAAAACCUUACCUACCCUUGACAUGUCUGAAUCCCGAAGAGAUUUGGGAGUGCUCGCAAGAGAACCGAACACAGGUGCUGCAUGGCUGUCGUCAGCUCGUGUCGUGAGACGUUGGGUUAAGUCCCGCAACGAGCGCAACCCUGUCAUUAGUUGCUACGAAAGGGCACUCUAAUGAGACUGCCGGUGACAAACCGGAGGAAGGUGGGGAUGACGUCAAGUCCUCAUGGCCCUUAUGGGUAGGGCUUCACACGUCAUACAAUGGUCGGGACAGAGGGUCGCCAACCCGCGAGGGGGAGCCAAUCCCAGAAACCCGAUCGUAGUCCGACUGCAGUCUGCAACUCGACUGCGUGAAGUCGGAAUCGCUAGUAAUCGCGGAUCAGCAUGUCGCGGUGAAUACGUUCCCGGUCUUGUACACACCGCCCGUCACACCAUGGGGAGUGGGUUUUACCAGAAGUAGUUAGCCUAACCGUAAGGAGGGCGAUUACCACGGUAGGAUCUAUGACUGGGGUGAAGUCGUAACAAGGUAG
Molecule: ribosomal RNA, 1459 nt
Filed under: uncultured Bordetella sp.
Lineage: Bacteria; Pseudomonadati; Pseudomonadota; Betaproteobacteria; Burkholderiales; Alcaligenaceae
Description: partial 16S-23S ribosomal RNA intergenic spacer
Rfam family: Bacterial small subunit ribosomal RNA
Source: RNAcentral